RNAcentral lists this ribosomal RNA (506 nucleotides) under uncultured bacterium. Its description in RNAcentral is "partial 16S ribosomal RNA". It matches the Rfam family "Bacterial small subunit ribosomal RNA", at positions 29 to 523 of the family's 1533-position model. The record is from RNAcentral.
AGUGAACGCUGGCGGUAGGCCCAACACAUGCAAGUCGAACGGCAGCACAGGAGAGCUUGCUCUCUGGGUGGCGAGUGGCGGACGGGUGAGGAAUACAUCGGAAUCUACUUUUUCGUGGGGGAUAACGUAGGGAAACUUACGCUAAUACCGCAUACGACCUACGGGUGAAAGCAGGGGAUCUUCGGACCUUGCGCGAUCGAAUGAGCCGAUGUCGGAUUAGCUAGUUGGCGGGGUAAAGGCCCACCAAGGCGACGAUCCGUAGCUGGUCUGAGAGGAUGAUCAGCCACACUGGAACUGAGACACGGUCCAGACUCCUACGGGAGGCAGCAGUGGGGAAUAUUGGACAAUGGGCGCAAGCCUGAUCCAGCCAUACCGCGUGGGUGAAGAAGGCCUUCGGGUUGUAAAGCCCUUUUGUUGGGAAAGAAAUCCAGCUGGUUAAUACCCGGUUGGGAUGACGGUACCCAAAGAAUAAGCACCGGCUAACUUCGUGCCAGCAGCCGCAGUAA